AACGAACGCUGGCGGCAUGCCUAACACAUGCAAGUCGAACGAGACCUUCGGGUCUAGUGGCGCACGGGUGCGUAACGCGUGGGAACCUGCCCUUGGGUUCGGAAUAACUCCCCGAAGGGGGUGCUCAUACCGGAUAAUGUCUUCGGACCAAAGAUUUAUCGCCUUUGGAUGGGCCCGCGUUGGAUUCGCUAGUUGGUAGGGUACAAGCCUACCAAGGCGUCGUUCCAUAGCUGGUCUGAGAGGAUGAUCAGCCACACUGGGACUGAGACACGGCCCAGACUCCUACGGGAGGCAGCAGUGGGGAAUAUUGGACAAUGGGCGAAAGCCUGAUCCAGCAAUGCCGCGUGAGUGAUGAAGGCCUUAGUGUUGUAAAGCUCUUUUACCCGGGAUGAUAAUGACAGUACCGGGAGAAUAAGCUCCGGCUAACUCCGUG
RNAcentral lists this ribosomal RNA (433 nucleotides) under uncultured bacterium. RNAcentral's name for it is "partial 16S ribosomal RNA". It matches the Rfam family "Bacterial small subunit ribosomal RNA", at positions 29 to 507 of the family's 1533-position model. The record is from RNAcentral.